GGAUGCGAUCAUACCAGCACUAAAGCACCGGAUCCCAUCAGAACUCCGAAGUUAAGUGUGCUUGGGCGAGAGUAGUACUAGGAUGGGUGACCUCCUGGGAAGUCCUCGUGUUGCAUUCCU
Molecule: ribosomal RNA, 120 nt
Filed under: Thinopyrum intermedium
Lineage: Eukaryota; Viridiplantae; Streptophyta; Magnoliopsida; Poales; Poaceae
Source: RNAcentral